GUGGGGAAUUUUGGACAAUGGGCGAAAGCCUGAUCCAGCCAUGCCGCGUGCAGGAUGAAGGCCUUCGGGUUGUAAACUGCUUUUGUACGGAACGAAACGGUCCGGGUUAAUACCCUGGGCUAAUGACGGUACCGUAAGAAUAAGCACCGGCUAACUACGUGCCAGCAGCCGCGGUAAUACGUAGGGUGCAAGCGUUAAUCGGAAUUACUGGGCGUAAAGCGUGCGCAGGCGGUUUUGUAAGACAGGCGUGAAAUCCCCGGGCUCAACCUGGGAAUUGCGCUUGUGACUGCAAGGCUGGAGUGCGGCAGAGGGGGAUGGAAUUCCGCGUGUAGCAGUGAAAUGCGUAGAUAUGCGGAGGAACACCGAUGGCGAAGGCAAUCCCCUGGGCCUGCACUGACGCUCAUGCACGAAAGCGUGGGGAGCAAACAGGAUUAGAAACCCUUGUAGUCC
Molecule: ribosomal RNA, 450 nt
Filed under: uncultured bacterium
Lineage: Bacteria
Description: bacterial SSU rRNA
Rfam family: Bacterial small subunit ribosomal RNA
Source: RNAcentral